CCGUCAGGUAGGGGGCGGCCGCCGCGGGGGCGGCUCCGUCCCCCCUUGCCCACGGACCCGGAACGCUUCGGGGGGCUCUGCCGGCGGUCGGCUCCGCGGGGGGGCCCUGCCAGCUGCCCUGGCGGGUGAGGAGGAGGAGGAGGAGGUGCGAGGCGACGCCAUUGUUAGUCACCCCGCCUCGAGGCGCUGAGCUACCACUGACGGGAAGGUGGGCUUCAGUUGUGAAACACUCGGGUACUGCUGUGAAGAGUCUCAUAGUAAGGAGAGACUGGGAAGUAACGAUUCCUGUAUUUUGUGAAGAGUGAAGUAUUUCAGUGAAGGAAAAAAACAGGGAAUUAAAAAAACUGAAUAGAACAAAAGCAGCACUGUUUGUUAUGAACACAAGCUGAAACUGAAGUCUUGCAAAGAGUGAAAGAGCAUCAAAAGAUAAUCAGACUAUUUUAUGAUGUGUGACAACAGUGACACAAAGAGAUUUAACUAUGUUUAUAUGGCAGUUUUCUAAUACCUGAUUCUGGUUCUGUUGUUCUUCUAACAUAGAGCUUUAAUAAUUUAAAAAAAGAGAAACAUUUCUGUGGUGCUCAUUUCUGUAUGAAGUAUUUUGUCAGGCUAAACUUUCUUCAGUUGUCUGAUACCAUUAAAUGAUUGGACUACUGCUGUGAUAUAUGUUCUCUAUCUUUUCCUGUUAUGUAAAUUUUUUUUUCCCAUUAUGUAAAUAUUUCUUGUACCAAACCUAACAUGUCUUAAGAAUUUUAGUCUUUUUUUAAAAAAAAAGGUCAGUCUUGACAAAAGUUAACAAGCUUUUUGGCCCACAUCUACAUGCGAAUGAUUCCUCUCUCCAAAGUUUGUCAUCAGCUUUUCCCCUUCAUCCAUCACUUAGGUUUCUUGUAGUGUUGGGCUUCAGGGUUUGACACCAAUGAUGAAAGAAGGGAUUUCAGGAAUAUCAUUCUUCAGUUCGUGAGAUUCUGACUCAGCCUGGUGUGAGUUUUCAGUGGAUUAAGUGGAUGUUGAUUCCUGUCAUAUGACUACAGUCAUAAAACUGUAAUCUUGAGCCAUAUCCUGUGAUUUAAGAUAAUAAUUAUUUUUUAACUUUUUUUUUUAAACUUUUAAGAUAGUGACUGUUUAACUAUGAGUAAUGCAUAUUUUAAUUCCAGAACCUAGGUGGUAAUAUUUGGCAAAAAUGGAACCAAAGUGUUUUUCUCCAUAUGGGAAAGUAUUGAGAGAAGUUGUUUCUGUUAAGUCUGGACAUAGUUGUAUGACAGUGUUUUUUGGAUGUUGAUGCUAAUAGAGAAAAUAAAGUAUUUUGGACAUA
Molecule: long non-coding RNA, 1309 nt
Organism: Aquila chrysaetos chrysaetos
Lineage: Eukaryota; Metazoa; Chordata; Aves; Accipitriformes; Accipitridae
Exons: 2
Source: RefSeq, a predicted model, not a curated record